UACGGGGGGGGCAAGCGUUGUUCGGAAUUACUGGGCGUAAAGGGCCAGUAGGCGGCCAACUAAGUCGGAUGUGAAAUCCCCAGGCUUAACCUGGGAACUGCAUCCGAUACUGGAUGGCUUGAAUUCGGGAGAGGGAUGCAGAAUUCCGGGUGUAGCGGUGAAAUGCGUAGAUAUCUGGAGGAAUACCGGUGGCGAAGGCGGCAUCCUGGACCGACAUUGACGCUGAACGGCGAAAGCUAGGGGAGCAAACGGG
This 253-nucleotide ribosomal RNA is filed under the name uncultured bacterium. Its description in RNAcentral is "partial 16S ribosomal RNA". It matches the Rfam family "Bacterial small subunit ribosomal RNA", at positions 524 to 776 of the family's 1533-position model. The record is from RNAcentral.